This 550-nucleotide ribosomal RNA is filed under the name uncultured Glomus. RNAcentral describes it as "SSU rRNA". It matches the Rfam family "Eukaryotic small subunit ribosomal RNA", at positions 549 to 1098 of the family's 1831-position model. The record is from RNAcentral. Lineage: Eukaryota; Fungi; Glomeromycota; Glomeromycetes; Glomerales; Glomeraceae.
UGGAGGGCAAGUCUGGUGCCAGCAGCCGCGGUAAUUCCAGCUCCAAUAGCGUAUAUUAAAGUUGUUGCAGUUAAAAAGCUCGUAGUUGAAUUUCGGGGUUCAUACGUUGGUCGGGCUUUUUGGUCUGUACUUAUGCAAUGGAUUCCUACCUUCUGAAUAACCGGCAUGUCAUUAAUUUGGUGCGCCGGGGAAGCAGGACUGUUACCUUGAAAAAAUUAGAGUGCUUAAAGCAGGCUAUCGCCUGAAUACAUUAGCAUGGAAUAAUGAAAUAGGACGGCAUGGUUCUAUUUUGUUGGUUUCUAGGAUCACCGUAAUGAUUAAUAGGGAUAGUUGGGGGCAUUAGUAUUCAAUUGUCAGAGGUGAAAUUCUUGGAUUUAUUGAAGACUAACUUCUGCGAAAGCAUUUGCCAAGGAUGUUUUCAUUAAUCAAGAACGAAAGUUAGGGGAUCGAAGACGAUCAGAUACCGUCGUAGUCUUAACCAUAAACUACGCCGACUAGGGAUCGGACGAUGUUAAUUUUUUAAUGACUCGUUCGGCGCCUUACGGGAAAC